Molecule: unclassified non-coding RNA, 201 nt
Filed under: uncultured Tomentella
Lineage: Eukaryota; Fungi; Basidiomycota; Agaricomycetes; Thelephorales; Thelephoraceae
Description: sequence contains ITS1
Source: RNAcentral
CCGAGUCGUCAACAUGGGUUGUUGCUGGUCCUCAAAUGGGGGCAUGUGCACGCUCUGUUCACACAUCCACUCACACCUGUGCACCCUCUGUAGUUCUGCGGUUCGGGGGAUGCGUCGCAUCCCUCCUGUGGUUCUAUGUCUUUACACACACGCUGUAGCGAAGUCUUAUGGAAUGUGCGCCGCGUUUAACGCGAUACAAUA